This 676-nucleotide ribosomal RNA is filed under the name Mugil cephalus (flathead mullet). Its description in RNAcentral is "partial large subunit ribosomal RNA". It matches the Rfam family "Bacterial large subunit ribosomal RNA", at positions 1819 to 2628 of the family's 2925-position model. The record is from RNAcentral. Lineage: Eukaryota; Metazoa; Chordata; Actinopteri; Mugiliformes; Mugilidae.
CCUCUUGUAAACCUCACAUAAGAGGUCCCGCCUGCCCAGUGACCCCUGUUCAACGGCCGCGGUAUUUUAACCGCGCAAAGGUAGCGCAAUCACUUGUCCCUUAAAUGAGAACCAGUAUGAAUGGCUAGACGAGGGCUUAACUGUCUCCUUUUCCCGACCAAUGAAAUUGAUCUUCCCGUGCAGAAGCGGGAAUACUAACAUAAGACGAGAAGACCCUGCGGAGCUUUAGACGCCAGAAUAGAUCACGUCAAAUAUCUCUCUCAAACAGAUAACAACAAAUGAACCCUAUUCCACGUCUUAGGUUGGGGCGACCACGGUGAACAGAAAAACCCCCGCGUGGACUAAGAGCAUAUAUUCACAUUUAUCAAUACUGCUUCUCACAACCAUGAGCUACAGCUCUAAAUAACAGAACUUCUGACCAAAAAAAUGAUCCGGCAAUGCCGAUUAACGGACCAAGUUACCCCAGGGAUAACAGCGCAAUCCUCUUUAAGAGUCCAUAUCGACAAGAGGGUUUACGACCUCGAUGUUGGAUCAAGACAUCCUAAUGGUGCAACCGCUAUUAAGGGUUCGUUUGUUCAACGAUUAAAGUCUUACAUGAUCUGAGUUCAGACCGGCCGCCUGUUUAUCAAAAACAUGAUCUGAGUUCAGACCGGUCGCCUGUUUAUCAAAAACAUCG